RNAcentral lists this transfer RNA (68 nucleotides) under Crocidura beata (Mindanao shrew). Its description in RNAcentral is "tRNA-Glu". The record is from RNAcentral. Lineage: Eukaryota; Metazoa; Chordata; Mammalia; Eulipotyphla; Soricidae.
GUUUCUGUAGUUGAAAAACAACGAUGAUUUUUCAUGUCAUAGGUCGUGGUUUAGUCCAUGUGGAAAUU